RNA transcript from Dioscorea cayenensis subsp. rotundata (Guinea yam), 1043 nucleotides. RefSeq lists it as uncharacterized. The record is from RefSeq and is a predicted model, not a curated record. The transcript is spliced from 3 exons. Lineage: Eukaryota; Viridiplantae; Streptophyta; Magnoliopsida; Dioscoreales; Dioscoreaceae.
AAAUUGUAGAAUCCAUGGCGGGCAAAGAAACCCUCAUCGCCGGAGAUCGAUCUUCCCCGCCCCCAAGCCUCAUCUUCUCGUCCGCAAGCACCUUCUUGCAUUUCUCUCGCCGAUUCCCUUCUCGAGAUGUAGCAGCCCGAUCGGAGUGCGCUCUAUUAGAUUUAGUCCUCCGAUGAAUGGAUCAACAAUUGAUUACCUCUCCUGCAGAAUCCUGGACGAUGAGCUCGAAAUCGGCGGUGAAGGAGCAGCGGCCGGAAAAGCCUAGGGUAUCUUUGUGGAUAAGUAGUCGAAGAAGAUCAAUGAUGAGCAAAGCGUGGAGGGUUGGCUGUUGUUUCUGUUACCUUGAUGAUGAUCAUCGCUGGGCUCGAAGCUGGAAGGUCAUGUUUCUUGAAAUCCUGGAUUUUUUGGAGUUUUGUUCCCUAGUUUUCUUGAUUUUUUUUGUUCAUAGACAUGAUUAUGGUUGGGCGUGUCCUGACGCUGCUUUAAGAGGUUCUUUCGCUAGGGCAGGCUAACAACCUGGUGAUCGUCAUCACUGUUGUGCAUCAGAUAUGAGGGAUCGGAUUGGGACAGUGAUUGGGGAAAGACGUGUCAUAGGAGCUCUUGAUCAGCACCUUUCACUAGUUCUGUUUGCAGCUCUUGUGGUCACAAGGAGGAAAAAGGAGGAAAGUAUGCCAACUUUUCAAUUUUGGUUAUUACCUCUUCUUGAUGUGUUGUUUUCAUGAAACAUCAGAAAGGAUUGCACACUUUUCCUGCAUUCAUACAUGAAAUUCAUUUGUAGAAUCUUGUGGACAUGCAUUCAUAAGCAUUAUGGGAAGAUUAACUUGCCUUUGGAUUGGUUUAUGUAAUUACCAUUUUUAUGUUUGGGCCCUAUCCAUAAAUUUUUUUAGUCUUCUCAUUUUCUCGUCAUUUAUACAUAAACCUGAACUUGCCUUGGACACAAGCUCUAAUUGUGGAUACUAACUUGCAUUUUCACUAUUCACUACAGUAAGAUGAACAAGAUUUUGGACUUUCUCCCCUCAAAAUAUUAGCCCUUGAUGAUUUAU